RNAcentral lists this ribosomal RNA (253 nucleotides) under uncultured bacterium. RNAcentral's name for it is "partial 16S ribosomal RNA". It matches the Rfam family "Bacterial small subunit ribosomal RNA", at positions 524 to 776 of the family's 1533-position model. The record is from RNAcentral.
UACGUAGGGCGCAAGCGUUGUCCGGAAUUAUUGGGCGUAAAGAGCUCGUAGGCGGCUUGUCACGUCGGGUGUGAAAGCCCGGGGCUUAACCCCGGGUCUGCAUUCGAUACGGGCUAGCUAGAGUGUGGUAGGGGAGAUCGGAAUUCCUGGUGUAGCGGUGAAAUGCGCAGAUAUCAGGAGGAACACCGGCGGCGAAGGCGGAUCUCUGGGCCAUUACUGACGCUGAGGAGCGAAAGCGUGGGGAGCGAACAGG